Long non-coding RNA from Myiozetetes cayanensis, 661 nucleotides. RefSeq lists it as uncharacterized. The record is from RefSeq and is a predicted model, not a curated record. Lineage: Eukaryota; Metazoa; Chordata; Aves; Passeriformes; Tyrannidae. The transcript has 4 exons.
CAGUGACUGCGAGGGUUCCCCCGCGCCAGUCCCGCGGGAGCGACUCCGGGGACGCGGUGGCUGCUCGUGAAGCCUCCGCCCUACCGGGGUGGGACGCGUGUCCCGCCCGGAGCCGUGCCGGGGUUCAUCUGUGCAAGUCGGAGGCAAAAAUGUCCGUUGCGGCGUUUUAAAUUCAAACGGACUGACCCUCCGUCACGGCGAGUCCCGGGGGUGCAGGGCCUGGGCCCCUCGGCACGCCUGACACCGCCGUGCUCGCCCUGCUGGGAGGGCUGCCCCAGAAAACCCGGCUUCUUGCAAGUAUUCAAGAGCAGCAGCAGUGGCAGCAUGAGAACCGCCAGCGCCCUGCAGCUUUUUCUCUCUUGGAUCCUGCUGGUGUGGGAGUGAGCAAGUGGCUGUGUGUGUCUUGGUUGCUGACUGGGGUGAAACCAUGACAGGAACAAAGCUGUUGCUGUGACACAGAGGAACAAUUGCUGAGACCUGGGGUAAAGACUGUCUUCCUAAUUCUAGUGCAGAAGACCAUCACGAAUGGUUAUUUACACACCAAAGGACUAAAGAGGAAAUAGUAGAAAGCAACAAGAAAAUCAUUAGAAAACAUCAAAAAUACAGCCAGGUGCCAUGAAUGUGAAAGAAGCUCACUAGAGAAAAGCCCCAAACCACAGAA